Molecule: small nucleolar RNA, 138 nt
Filed under: Sciurus vulgaris (Eurasian red squirrel)
Lineage: Eukaryota; Metazoa; Chordata; Mammalia; Rodentia; Sciuridae
Description: Small nucleolar RNA SNORA67 (ENSSVLG00005015191.1)
Rfam family: Small nucleolar RNA SNORA67
About the family: U67 belongs to the H/ACA class of snoRNAs which are thought to guide the sites of modification of uridines to pseudouridines.
Source: Rfam by way of RNAcentral
UUAUAUUAUGUCCCUCUCCAUGGGGCCAACUAGUGCCCCCUUCAGGAAAGUAGCAACUUGGAAGAAAACCUGGCAAGCCUAAGGUUGGAAGACAAAGAAUACUUGAAUUCUUUUGCCUUCCUUUGACUGCCUACAUGC